GUUAAGGCCCGUCUCAGACUCGGAUUGUGGCUCAGACUUAGACUCCUCCUAAGCUUGUUAGACCUCGAGACCGUCAUCACCCCGGUGACUGUUCCCAUCAAACAGAGUAAAUUAAAGGAGAACCACCCACCUCCUGUGGGCUCACCCCUGUGAAAUAUUUCUGUGAAAGACACUCUCCAGUGACAUGGUGCCCAAUAAGAGAUGGCAUGUUAUCUCCUUCGGCCCGUUCUUCAAGCUCGUGGCCGAAGGAAGCAAGCUAUUAUGUUGUGAUUAAUGCUGCGGAGAGAACCUCAUGACAGAGGCUUAACGUCUCUGACCAGUAGCCAGCUGGGACCUGCGGCUGGCUGAUUUCCCAACAGGAGUGAGCUCGAGAGUGGAAUGCCCACAGUGGAGCUGUCUCCGCUGCUGACACUGCAGCCUGGUGAGAAGACCCUGUGUCAGAGUUUCCCAGCUAUGCCAUGCCCAGGCUUCUAGCCCAGAGAAAUGGUUUUAAUCCUACAUCCCUGGAGUGUGAUCUCUUUGCAUUUUGCCUCCACCGCUGCCUUCACACACCACCAGCAAUGGGAAGAUAGCCAGGAACCCUGGGUGCAGCAACCAGAGAGUCCCAUUCAGCAAGGAAUGUCCAUCCCUCCUCCAGCAGAGCCUGAGUCUCAGGGGAGCAUGGCAUCAUCACAGUGCCUGGAA
Long non-coding RNA from Eptesicus fuscus (big brown bat), 684 nucleotides. RefSeq lists it as uncharacterized. The transcript has 3 exons. Lineage: Eukaryota; Metazoa; Chordata; Mammalia; Chiroptera; Vespertilionidae. The record is from RefSeq and is a predicted model, not a curated record.